UGACGUACUUGUACUGAUUGAGAUUUUAACACGAAGUGAGUGGCGAACGGGUGAGUAACACGUGGGUAACCUGCCCAGAAGUAGGGGAUAACACCUGGAAACAGAUGCUAAUACCGUAUAACAGAGAAAACCGCAUGGUUUUCUUUUAAAAGAUGGCUCUGCUAUCACUUCUGGAUGGACCCGCGGCGUAUUAGCUAGUUGGUGAGGCAAAGGCUCACCAAGGCAGUGAUACGUAGCCGACCUGAGAGGGUAAUCGGCCACAUUGGGACUGAGACACGGCCCAGACUCCUACGGGAGGCAGCAGUAGGGAAUCUUCCACAAUGGACGCAAGUCUGAUGGAGCAACGCCGCGUGAGUGAAGAAGGGUUUCGGCUCGUAAAGCUCUGUUGUUAAAGAAGAACGUGGGUAAGAGUAACU
This 416-nucleotide ribosomal RNA is filed under the name Pediococcus pentosaceus. RNAcentral's name for it is "bacterial SSU rRNA". It matches the Rfam family "Bacterial small subunit ribosomal RNA", at positions 60 to 466 of the family's 1533-position model. The record is from RNAcentral. Lineage: Bacteria; Bacillati; Bacillota; Bacilli; Lactobacillales; Lactobacillaceae.